Molecule: unclassified non-coding RNA, 360 nt
Filed under: uncultured fungus
Lineage: Eukaryota; Fungi
Description: sequence contains ITS1
Rfam family: 5.8S ribosomal RNA (bases 1-105)
Source: RNAcentral
GAAUUGCGAAAAGUAAUGUGAAUUGCAGAAUUCCGUGAAUCAUCGAAUCUUUGAACGCAUAUUGCGCUCUUUGGUCCUCCAGAGAGCAUGGCUGUUUGAGUAUCAUUUCAACCUCUCACCUGUCGUUUUGCGGCGGCGCGUGGACAUGAGAGUGUCCGGGGGUCACUCCCGGUCUCUUGAAAGAUAUUGAUGGCUGGAUUUGGCCGUCCUAGAAGGCGUAUUGGUUCUCCCGUGGGAGAUUUCUGCGCUGGAUCUCUGGGACCGUAGUGAGCCACCAGUCCGUCGACUGUUAUAUGUAGGGGCCCCCCCCUACACAAUAAUAUUGAUCUCAAAUCAGCCAAGACUACCCGCUGAAUUUAA